GACGAACGCUGGCGGCGUGCUUAACACAUGCAAGUCGAACGGAAAGGCCCCUUUGGGGGUACUCGAGUGGCGAACGGGUGAGUAACACGUGAGUAACCUGCCCUUGACUUCGGGAUAACUUCAGGAAACUGGGGCUAAUACCGGAUAGGAAUCCUUGCUGCAUGGUGGGGGUUGGAAAGCUUCGGCGGGUUUGGAUGGACUCGCGGCUUAUCAGCUUGUUGGUGGGGUAGUGGCUUACCAAGGCGUUGACGGGUGGCCGGCCUGAGGGGGCGACCGGCCACAUUGGGACUGAGAUACGGCCGAGACUCCUACGGGAGGCAGCAGUGGGGAAGAUUGCACGAUGGGCGGCAGCCUGAUGCAGCAACGCCGCGUGCGGGAUGACGGCCUUCGGGUUGUAAAACGCUUUCAGCAGGGGCGAAGCUUGUGGUGACGGUACCUGCAGAAGAAGCACCGGCUAACUACGUG
Molecule: ribosomal RNA, 465 nt
Filed under: uncultured bacterium
Lineage: Bacteria
Description: partial 16S ribosomal RNA
Rfam family: Bacterial small subunit ribosomal RNA
Source: RNAcentral